RNAcentral lists this ribosomal RNA (441 nucleotides) under uncultured Kordiimonadales bacterium. RNAcentral's name for it is "bacterial SSU rRNA". It matches the Rfam family "Bacterial small subunit ribosomal RNA", at positions 29 to 505 of the family's 1533-position model. The record is from RNAcentral. Lineage: Bacteria; Pseudomonadati; Pseudomonadota; Alphaproteobacteria; Kordiimonadales.
AACGAACGCUGGCGGCACGCCUAACACAUGCAAGUCGAGCGAGAAGCUACCUUCGGGUAGUGGGCAGCGGCGGACGGGUGAGUAACGCGUGGGCACCUGCCUUUUAGUACGGAACAACAGUUGGAAACGACUGCUAAUACCGUAUACGCCCUUCGGGGGAAAGAUUUAUCGCUAAAAGAUGGGCCCGCGUUAGAUUAGCUAGUUGGUGAGGUAAGAGCUCACCAAGGCGACGAUCUAUAGCUGGUUUGAGAGGAUGAUCAGCCACACUGGGACUGAGACACGGCCCAGACUCCUACGGGAGGCAGCAGUGGGGAAUAUUGGACAAUGGGGGCAACCCUGAUCCAGCGAUGCCGCGUGUGUGAUGAAGGCCUUAGGGUUGUAAAACACUUUCAGAUGGGAUGAUAAUGACAGUACCAUCAGAAGAAGCUCCGGCUAACUCCG